This 695-nucleotide long non-coding RNA is filed under the name Phasianus colchicus (ring-necked pheasant). RNAcentral describes it as "lncRNA (ENSPCLG00000019779.1)". Lineage: Eukaryota; Metazoa; Chordata; Aves; Galliformes; Phasianidae. The record is from RNAcentral.
GGAGAUGUGGGGCAGGGGAGGGAGAUGUGGGGCAGGGGAUGGGUCUAUAGGGCAGAGAACGAACAUGUGGGGUAGAUAUGGGGGGAAAUGUGGGGCAGGAGAGGGAAAUGUGGGGCAGAUGUGGGGCAGAAAAUGGAGAUGUGGGGCAGAUGUGGGGCAGGGGAGGGAGAUGUGGGGCAGAGAGAAGAUAUGGGGUAAUUAUGGGGGAGAUGUGGGGCAGAUGUGGGGCAUGGGAGGGAGAUGUGGGGCAGAUAUGUGGGGAGAUGUGGGGCAGAGGAUGGAGAUGUGGGGCAGAGGAUGGAGAUGUGGGGCAGAUGUGGGGCUGAGGAUGGGGCUAUAGGGCAGGGAGGGGAGAUAUGGGGCAGAUAUGGGGGGAGAUGUGGGGCAGAGGAUGGAGAUAUGGGGCAGAUGUGGGGCAGGCGAUGGGGCUAUGGGGCGAGAUAUGGGGCAGGCUAUGGGGCGGGCUAUGGGGCGAGCUAUGGGGCAGGCUAUAGGGCUAUGGAGCAGGCUAUGGGGCAGGCUACGGGGCUAUGGGGUGAGAUAUGGGGCUAUGGGGCAGGCUAUGGGGCAGGCUAUGGGGCUAUGAGGCAGGCUAUGGGGCAGGCUAUGGGGCGGGCUAUGGGGCGAGAUAUGGAGCUAUGGGGCAGGCUAUGGGGCGAGCUAUGAGGCUAUAGAGCAGGCUAUAGGGCAGGCUA